GGCAGGCUUACACAUGCAAGUCGAACGCCCGUAGCAAUACGGGAGUGGCAGACGGGAGAGUAACACGUGGGAACGUGCCCUUCAGUUCGGAACAACCCAGGGAAACUUGGGCUAAUACCGGAUACGUCCGUAAGGAGAAAGAUUUAUCGCUGAAGGAUCGGCCCGCGUCUGAUUAGCUAGUUGGUGGGGUAAUGGCUCACCAAGGCGACGAUCAGUAGCUGGUCUGAGAGGAUGAUCAGCCUCACUGGGACUGAGACACGGCCCAGACUCCUACGGGAGGCAGCAGUGGGGAAUCUUGGACAAUGGGCGCAAGCCUGAUCCAGCCAUGCCGCGUGGGUGAUGAAGGCCCUAGGGUUGUAAAGCCCUUUCGGCGGGGAAGAUAAUGACGGUACCCGCAGAAGAAGCCCCGGCUAACUUCGUGCCAGCAGCCGCGGUAAUACGAAGGGGGCUAGCGUUGCUCGGAGUCACUGGGCGUAUAGCGCACGUACGCGGAUUGCUAA
This 500-nucleotide ribosomal RNA is filed under the name uncultured bacterium. RNAcentral describes it as "bacterial SSU rRNA". It matches the Rfam family "Bacterial small subunit ribosomal RNA", at positions 41 to 586 of the family's 1533-position model. The record is from RNAcentral.